UGCAGGAAUCGGAUUACAGCUGUCGAUGUGGCCUUCGGCAUCGCUUUUAGCCACACAAACUUGGUCAAGUGAUCUAAUGCGAUAAAUAGCAUGGUAUUUCCUCGGCGAGACCGCGGAUACUUUCCUAAGAAAUCCAGUUUUCGCAGGCUGCUACAAAGUCUCGGACUUGAACUACCAUUUUGGGCCUGUAAUACAUCUGCUGAAGUAUCGCCAAGGUCUUUGCCAUACCCCCAUGCAUCGCCAUGUCGCCGCCGUGGGCUUGCUGGAUUAGAGUUGUCGUCAAUGCUUCCGGAAUCCACAGUUUCCAUUCAAAUUCCCCACUUUCCUCUCGAUUGAAGUGUGUCUUCUUGAAUAGAAGUCCUUCUUCCACACGAAUUCAGGACUCUCAAAUUCAGUUGUUUCAAACUCGAAAAACUCUACUUCAGCGGUUUCUUUCGGCCGAGAUAGCAUGUCGGCCACGAUGUUGUCUUUCCCUUUCCGAUGCUCUUUGUUGAAGUCGAAUGCCUGUA
Drosophila subpulchrella is the source of this 509-nucleotide long non-coding RNA. RefSeq lists it as uncharacterized. The record is from RefSeq and is a predicted model, not a curated record. NCBI's taxonomy places the organism in Eukaryota, Metazoa, Arthropoda, Insecta, Diptera, Drosophilidae. The transcript has 3 exons.